RNAcentral lists this ribosomal RNA (442 nucleotides) under uncultured bacterium. RNAcentral describes it as "partial 16S ribosomal RNA". It matches the Rfam family "Bacterial small subunit ribosomal RNA", at positions 338 to 795 of the family's 1533-position model. The record is from RNAcentral.
CCUACGGGGGGCUGCAGUGGGGAAUAUUGGGCAAUGGACGCAAGUCUGACCCAGCAAUGCCGCGUGAAGGAAGAAGGCCUUCGGGUUGUAAACUUCUUUUAAGGGGGAAGAGCAGAAGACGGUACCCCUUGAAUAAGCCACGGCUAACUAGGUGCCAGCAGCCGCGGUAAUACGUCGGUGGCAGGCGUUGUCCGGAUUUACUGGGUGUAAAGGGCGUGCAGCCGGAGAGACAAGUCAGGUGGGAAAUCCACGGGCUCAACCCGUGAACUGCAAUUGAAACUGUUUCCCUUGAGUGUCGGAGAGGUGAGCGGAAUGCCUGGUGUAGCGGUGAAAUGCGUAGAUAUAAGGAAGAACACCAGUGGCGAAGGCGGAUUACUGGACGAUAACUGACGGUGAGGCGCGAAAGCGUGGGGAGCAAACAGGAUUAGAUACCCGUGUAGUC